AACUAAUGAGUUAGUUGCGGGAUGAUGUAUUACAGAACGAGUAAAGAGACUUGCCGGUAACGAGAUUGAACUAGGUAUUGGAUACCGACGAUCGAAUCUCGGGCAAGUAACAUACCGAUGACAAAGGGAACAACGUAUGUUGUUAUGCGGUCUGACCGAUAAAGAUCUUCGUAGAAUAUGUAGGAGCCAAUAUGGGCAUCCAGGUCCCGCUAUUGGUUAUUGACCGGAGACGUGUCUCGGUCAUGUCUACAUUGUUCUCGAACCCGUAGGGUCUGCACGCUUAAGGUUUCGAUGACAGUAAUAUUAUGAGUUUAUGAGUUUUGAUGUACCGAAGGAGUUCGGAGCCCCGGAUGAGAUCGGGGACAUGACGAGGAGUCUCGAAAUGGUCGAGACGUAAAGAUCAAUAUAUUGGACGACUAUAUUCGGACAUCGGAAAGGUUCCGAGUGAUUCGGGUAUUUUUCGGAGUACCGGGUAGUUACGGGAGAAGCAAUGGGCCUUGAUGGGCUUUAGUGGGAAGANNNNNNNNNNNNNNNNNNNNNNNNNNNNNNNNNNNNNNNNNNNNNNNNNNNNNNNNNNNNNNNNNNNNNNNNNNNNNNNNNNNNNNNNNNNNNNNNNNNNNNNNNNNNNNNNNNNNNNNNNNNNNNNNNNNNNNNNNNNNNNNNNNNNNNNNNNNNNNNNNNNNNNNNNNNNNNNNNNNNNNNNNNNNNNNNNNNNNNNNNAUUGGACUAGGGAAAAGGGGGCCGGCCACCUCUCCUUCUCCUCCACUUCCUUCUUCCUUCCUCCCCUCUUGGUGGACUCCUACUAGGACUUGGAGUCCUAGUAGGACUCCACAUCCUGGCCGCACCAAUUGCCUUGGCCGGCCUCCUCCUCCUCCAUACUUUAUAUACUGAGGCAAGGGGCACCCCAUAGAGAAGUUGAUCCACGUGAUCUUAUUCUUAGCCGUGUGCGGCGCCCCCAGCCACCAUAGUCGUCGAUAAUAUUGUAGCGGUGCUUAGGCGAAGCCCUGUAGCAGUAGUGCAUCAAGAUCGUCACCAUGUCGUCGUGCUGAUAGAACUCUUCCCCGACACUUUGCUGGAUCGGAGUCCGGGGAUCGUCACCGAGUUGAACGUGUGCUAGAACUCGGAGGUGCCGUAGUUUCGGUGCUUGAUCGGUUGGGCCGUGAAGACGUACGACUACAUCAACCAAACGCUUCCGUUGUCGAUAUACCAAGGGUACGUAGAUCACACUCUCCCCUCGUUGCUAUGCAUCACCAUGAUCUUGCGUGUGCGUAGGAAAAUUUUUGAAAUUACUACGUUCCCCAACAGUGGUAUCAGAGCCUAGGUUUUAUAUGUUGAUGUUAUAUGCACGAGUAGAACACAAGUGAGUUGUGGGCGAUAUAAGUCAUACUGCCUACCAGCAUGUCAUACUUUGGUUCGGCGGUAUUGUUGGAUGAAGCGGCCCAGACCAACAUUACACGUACGCUUACGCGAGACCGGUUCUCCCGACGUGCUUUGCACAGAGGUGGCUUGUGGGUGACAGUUUCUCCAACUUUAGUUGAACCAAGUGUGGCUACGCCCGGUCCUUGCGAAGGUUAAAAUGGAGUCAAAUUGACAAACUAUCGUUGUGGUUUUGAUGCGUAGGUGAGAUUGGUUCUUACUUAAGCCCGUAGCAGCCACGUAAAACUUGCAACAACAUAGUAGAGGACGUCUAACUUGUUUUUGCAGGGCAUGUUGUGAUGUGAUAUGGUCAAAACGUGAUGAGAUAUAAGUUGUUGUAUGAGAUGAUCAUGUUUUGUUAAAGGUAUCGACAACUGGCAAAAGCCUUAUGGUUGUCUCCAUAUUGCAUAAGAUGCAAGCGCCAAAUAAUUGCUUUACUUUAUCGCUAUGCGAUAGCAAUAGUUGCAAGAGCAAUAGUUGGCGAGAUGACCAUGUGACGACACAUUGAUAUAGAUCAAGAUGAUGGAGAUCAUGGUGUCAUGCCAGUGACGAUAGAGAUCAUGACAGUACUUUGGAGAUGGAGAUCAAAGGCGCAAGAUGAUGAUGGCCAUAUCAUGUCACAUAUUUUGAAUGCAUAUGAUGUUUAUCUUUUAUACAUCUUAUUUUUAGUUUGAUGGUAGCAUUUUAAGAUGAUCUCUCACUAAUUAUCAAGAAGUGUUCUCCCUGAGUAUGCACCAUUGCCAAAGUUCGUCGUGCCCAGACACCACGUGAUGAUCGGGUGUGAUAAGCUCUACGUCCAUCUACAACGGGUGCAAGCCAGUUUUGCACACGCGGAAUACUCAGGUUAAACUUGACGACCCUAGCAUAUGCAGAUAUGGCCUCGGAACACGGAGACCGAAAGGUCGAGCGUGAAUCAUAUAGUAGAUAUGAUCAACAUAGUGAUGUUCACCAUUGAAAACUACUCCAUCUCACGUGAUGAUCGGUUAUGGUUUAGUUGAUAUGGAUCACGUAAUCACUUAGAAGAUUAGAGGGAUGUCUAUCUAAGUGGGAGUUCUUAAGUAAUAUGAUUAAUUGAACUUAAAUUUAUCAUGAACUUAGUCCUGGUAGCAUUUUGCAAAUUAUGUUGUAGAUCAAUAGCUUGCGUUGUUGCUUUCAUAUGUUUAUUUUGAUAUGUUCCUAGAGAAAAAUUGUGUUGAAAGAUGUUAGUAGCAAUGAUGCAGAUUGGAUCCGUGAUCUGAGGUUUAUCCUCAUUGCUGCACAGAAGAAUUAUGUCCUUGAUGCACCGCUAGGUGACAGACCUAUUGCAGGAGCAGAUACAGACGUUAUGAACGUUUGGCUAGCUCAAUAUGAUGACUACUUGAUAGUUUAGUGCACCAUGCUUAACGGCUUAUCGGGACUUCAAAGACGUUUUGAACGUCAUGGACCAUAUGAGAUGUUCCAGGAAUUGAAGUUAAUAUUUCAAGCAAAUACCCGAGUUGAGAGAUAUGAAGUCUCCAACAAGUUCUAUAGCUAAAAGAUGGAGGAGAAUUGCUCAACUAGUGAGCAUGUGCUCAGAUUGUCUGGGUACUACAAUCACUUGAAUCAAGUGGGAGUUAAUCUUCCAGAUAAAAUAGUGAUUGACAGAAUUCUCUAGUCACCAUCACCAAGUUAGUAGAACUUCGUGAUGAACUAUAAUAUGCAAGGGAUGACUAAAGUGAUUCCCAAGCUCUUCGUGAUGUUGAAAUCGACGAAGGUAGAAAUCAAGAAAGAGCAUCAAGUGUUGAUGGUAGACAAGACCACUAGUUUCAAUAAAAGGGCAAAGGGAAGAAGGGGAACUUCAAGAAGAACGGCAAGCAAGUUGCUGCUCAAGUGAAGAAGCCCAAGUCUGGUCCUAAGCCUGAGACUAAGUGUUUCUACUACAAAGGGACUGGUCAUUGGAAGCGGAACUACCCCAAGUGAUUGGCAGAUAAGAAGGAUGGCAAAGUGAACAUAAGUAUAUUUGAUAUACAUGUUAUUGAUGUGUACUUUACUAGUGUUUAUAGCAACCCCUCAGUAUUUGAUACUAGUUCAGUUGCUAAGAUUAGUAACUCGAAACGGGAGUUGUAGAAUAAACAGAGACUAGUUAAGGGAGAAGUGACGAUGUGUGUUGGAAGUGGUUCCAAGAUUGAUAUGAUCAUCAUCGCACACUCCCCUAUACUUUCGGGAUUAGUGUUGAACCUAAAUAAGUGUUAUUUGGUUUUUGCGUUGAGCAUGAAUAUGAUUUGAUCAUGUUUAUUGCAAUUCGGUUAUUCAUUAAAGUCAGAGAAUAAUUGUUGUUCUGUUUACAUGAAUAAAACCUUCGAUGGUCAUACACCCAAUGAAACAAGUUCAUUGGAUCUCGAUCGUAGUGAUACACAUAUUCAUAAUAUUGAAACCAAAAGAUGCGAAGUUAAUAAUGAUAGUGCAACUUAUUUGUAGCACUGCCGUUUAGGUCAUAUUGGUGUAAAGCGCAUGAAGAAACUCCAUGCUGAUGGAAUUUUGGAAUCACUUGAUUAUGAAUCACUUGAUGCUUGCGAACCAUGCCUCAUGGGCAAGAUGACUAAGACUCCGUUCUCCGGAGCGAGCAACUGACUUAUUGGAAAUAAUACAUACUGAUGUAUGCAGUCCGAUGAGUGUUAAGGCUCACGGCAAGUAUCGUUAUUUUCUGAACUUCACAGAUGAUUUGAGCAGAUAUGGGUAUAUCUACUUGAUGAAACAUAAGUCUGAAACAUUUGAAAAGUUCAAAGAAUUUCAGAGUGAAGUGGAAAAUCAUCAUGACAAGAAAAUAAAAUUUCUACGAUCUGAUCGCGGAGACAAAUAUUUGAGUUACGAGUUUGGUCUUCAAUUAAAAAAUGUGGAAUAGUUUCACAAACUCAUGCCACAUGGAACACCACAGCAUAAUGGUGUGUCCGAACGUCAUAACCAUACUUUAUUGGAUAUAGUGCAAUCUAUGAUGUCUCUUACCGAUCUACCACUAUCGUUUUGGGGUUAUGCAUUAGAGACAGCUACAUUCACGUUAAAUAGGGCACCAUCUAAAUCCGUUGAGACGACACCAUGUGAACUAUGGUUUGGCAAGAAACCUAAGCUGCCGUUUCUUAAAGUUUGGUGUUGCGAUGCUUAUAUGAAAAAGUUUCAUCCUGAUAAGCUCAAACUCAAAUCGGAGAAGUGCGUCUUCAUAGGAUAUCCAAAGGAAACUAUUGGAUACACCUUCUAUCACAGAUCCGAAGGCAAGACUUUUGUUGCUAAAUUCGGAAACUUUCUGGAGAAAGAGUUUCUCUCGAAAGAAGUGAGUGGGAGGAAAGUAGAACUUGACAAGGUAACUGUACCUGCUCCCUUAUUGGAAAGUAGUACAUCACAGAAAACUGUUUCUGUGACACCUACACCAGUUAGUGAGGAAGCUAAUGAUGAUGAUCAUGAAACUUCAAAACAAGAUACUACUGAACCUCGUAGAUCAACCAGAGUAAGAUCCGCGCCAGAGUGGUAUGGUAAUCCUGUUCUGGAAGUCAUGCUACUAGAUCAUGAUGAACCUACGAACUAUGAAGAAGCGAUGGUGAGCCCAGAUUCCGCAAAGUGGCUUGAAGCCAUGAAAUCUGAGAUAUGAUCCAUGUAUAAGAACAAAGUAUGGACUUUGGUUGACUUGCCCGAUGAUCGGCAAGUCAUAGAAAAUAAAUGGAUCUUCAAGAGGAAGACGGACGCUGAUAGUAGUGUUACUAUCUACAAAGCUAGAAUUGUCGCAAAAGGUUUUCGACAAGUUCAAGGUGUUGACUACGAUGAGAUUUUCUCACUCGUAUCUAUGCUUAAGUCUGUCCGAAUCAUGUUAGCAAUUGCCGCAUUUUAUGAAAUCUGGCAAAUGGAUAAACAAAACUGCAUUCCUUAAUGGAUUUACUAAAGAAGAGUUGUAUACGAUGCAACUAGAAGGUUUUGUCGAUCCUAAAGGUGUUAACUAAAUAUGCAAGCUCCAGCGAUCCAUCUAUGGACUGGUGCAAGAAUCUCGGAGUUGGAAUAUACGCUUUGAUAAGUUGAUCAAAGCAUAUAGUUUUAUACAGACUUGCGGUGAAGCCUGUAUUUACAAGAAAGUGAGUGGGAGCACUACAACAUUUCUGAUAAGUAUAUGUGAAUGACAUAUUGUUGAUCGAAAAUAAUGUAGAAUUAUUCUGCAAAGCAUAAAGGAGUGUUUGAAAGGAGUUUUUCAAAGAAAGACCUCGGUGAAGCUGCUUACAUAUUGAGUAUCAAGAUCUAUAGAGAUAGAUCAAGACACUUGAUAAGUUUUUUCAAUGAGUACAUACCUUGACAAGAUUUUGAAGUAGUUCAAAAUGGAACAGUCAAAGAAAAGGUUUCUUGCCUGUGUUACAAGGUGUGAAGUUGAGUAAGACUCAAAGCCCGACCACGGCAGAAGAUAGAAAGAGAAUGAAAGUCAUUCCCUAUGCCUCAGUCAUAGGUUCUAUAAAGUAUGCCAUGCUGUAUACCAGAUCUAUUGUAUGCCCUACCACUGAGUUUGGCAAGGGAGUACGAUAGUGAUCUAGGAGUAGAUCACUGGACAGCGGUCAAAAUUAUCCUUAGUGGAAUAAGGAUAUGUUUCUCGAUUAUGGAAGUGAAAAAAAAAGGUUCAUCGUAAAGGGUUACGCCGAUGCAAGUUUUGACACUAAUCUAGAUGACUCUAAGUCUCGGUCUAGAUACAUAUUGAAAGUGGGAGCAAUUAGCUAGAGUAGCUCCAUGCAGAGCAUUGUUGACAUAGAAAUUUGCAAAAUACAUGCGGAUCUGAAUGUGGCAGACCCGUUGACUAAGAUUCUCUCACAAGCAAAACAUGAUCACACCUUAGUACUCCUUGGGUGUUAAUCACAUAGCGAUGUGAACUAGAUUACUGAAUCUAGUAAACCCUUUGGGUGUUGGUCACAUGGCGAUGUGAACUAUGGGUGUUAAUCACAUGAUGAUGUGAACUAUCGAUGUUAAUCACAUGGUGAUGUGAUCUAGAUUAUUGACUCUAGUGCUAGUGGGAGACUGAAGGAAAUAUGCCCUAGAGGCAAUAAUAAAGUUAUUAUUUAUUUCCUUAUUUCAUGAUAAAUGUUUAUUAUUCAUGCUAGAAUUGUAUUAACAGGAAACAUAAUACAUGUGUGAAUACAUAGACAAACAGAGUGUCACUAGUAUGCCUCUACUUGACUAGCUCGUUAAUCAAAGAUGGUUAUGUUUCCUAACCAUGGACAAAGAGUUGUUAUUUGAUUAACGGGAUCACAUCAUUAGGUGAAUGAUCUGAUUGACAUGACCCAUUCCAUUAGCUUAGCACCUGAUCGUUUAGUAUGUUGCUAUUGCUUUCUUCAUGACUUAUACAUGUUCCUAUGACUAUGAGAUUAUGCAACUCCCGUUUGCCAGAGGAACACUUUGUGUGCUACCAAACGUCACAACGUAACUGGGUGAUUAUAAAGGAGCUCUACAGGUGUCUCCAAAGGUACAUGUUGGGUUGGCGUAUUUCGAGAUUAGGAUUUGUCACUCCGAUUGUUGGAGAGGUAUCUCUGGGCCCUCUCGGUAAUGCACAUCACUUAAGCCUUGCAAGCAUUGCAACUAAUGAGUUAGUUGCGGGAUGAUGUAUUACAGAACGAGUAAAGAGACUUGCCGGUAACGAGAUUGAACUAGGUAUUGGAUACCGACGAUCGAAUCUCGGGCAAGUAACAUACCGAUGACAAAGGGAACAACGUAUGUUGUUAUGCGGUCUGACCGACAAAGAUCUUCGUAGAAUAUGUAGGAGCCAAUAUGGGCAUCCAGGUCCCGCUAUUGGUUAUUG
This 7189-nucleotide long non-coding RNA is filed under the name Triticum aestivum (bread wheat). RNAcentral's name for it is "long non-coding RNA (TAES_LNC019909)". The record is from RNAcentral. Lineage: Eukaryota; Viridiplantae; Streptophyta; Magnoliopsida; Poales; Poaceae.